RNAcentral lists this transfer RNA (74 nucleotides) under Loxodonta africana (African savanna elephant). It matches the Rfam family "tRNA". Rfam says of the family: Transfer RNA (tRNA) molecules are approximately 80 nucleotides in length. Their secondary structure includes four short double-helical elements and three loops (D, anti-codon, and T loops). Lineage: Eukaryota; Metazoa; Chordata; Mammalia; Proboscidea; Elephantidae. The record is from Rfam by way of RNAcentral.
CCCUAGGUGGUGCAGAUGGUUAAUGUGCUCAGCUGCUAACUGAGAGAUUGGAGGUUCGAGUCCAUCCCAAGGUG